Long non-coding RNA from Jaculus jaculus (lesser Egyptian jerboa), 658 nucleotides. RefSeq lists it as uncharacterized. NCBI's taxonomy places the organism in Eukaryota, Metazoa, Chordata, Mammalia, Rodentia, Dipodidae. The record is from RefSeq and is a predicted model, not a curated record. The transcript has 5 exons.
CUUCAGAGGAUCUAUCCAGAAACGCAUGGCAGUGGAGAGUCAGGACCUGGAGCUCCUAUGGCUAGAAGCCUGACAGCCUCCAAGUGCCCAGGGUACUGGCAGAGUGGCAUUCCAGGAACACUGCACUGAGGCAAAGGUCUCCUACAUCUCAAGAGGAGGUGAGGAGACAGAGAAGAGAGUGGAGGUGUGGAUGUGAAGCGAAGAUGGGCGGCCUAGGACCCCCAGGGGAGAAAGUCUCUGGCACCCAGAUGUCUGAGGCCCCUGAGGCCCCUGAAGAUGGUCCUGGUGAUGACAUCCUUGGCGCCGACGACUCGGACUUGGUGCCCUCGGUGACUCUGGCUGUGACCCUCAUACUGUUGUUCCUUCUGUUGUCAGCCUGGCUGGCGUGGCCACCCUGCCAAGCUUCCUACUAAAGAAACGCAUGUGGCCAGCUAUAAGGCAUGCGCCCUUGCGAACUCAGGCCACUGCAGCUCAGCCUCGCCCCUUCCCUGGCUUGCUGGUUGGCUUUUAUUGUCCUCAUCUUCGGAAGGCUGUGCGAGCAACUGAAGCGGAUAGGCUGAGGAGCCUGCGAAGACGUGCUGGUAUUGACCUCCCUCUGGCGGCUGAAGAUAGAAUUACACCAUCUGCAUAGCAGUCCCCCGGGGUGACUGGGCAAAGG